This 1365-nucleotide ribosomal RNA is filed under the name uncultured bacterium. RNAcentral describes it as "bacterial SSU rRNA". It matches the Rfam family "Bacterial small subunit ribosomal RNA", at positions 27 to 1393 of the family's 1533-position model. The record is from RNAcentral.
GAGUGAACGCUGGCGGCAGGCCUAACACAUGCAAGUCGAACGGCAGCACAGGAGAGCUUGCUCUCCGGGUGGCGAGUGGCGGACGGGUGAGGAAUACAUCGGAAUCUGCCUAUACGUGGGGGAUAACGUAGGGAAACUUACGCUAAUACCGCAUACGUCCUACGGGAGAAAGCGGGGGAUCGCAAGACCUCGCGCGGAUAGAUGAGCCGAUGUCUGAUUAGUUAGUUGGUGAGGUAACGGCUCACCAAGACUUCGAUCAGUAGGGGAUCUGAGAGGACUACCCCCCACACGGAUACUGAGACACGGAUCCGACUCCUACGGGAGGCAGCAGUAAGGAAUAUUGGACAAUGCCCGCAAGGGUGAUCCAGCCAUGCCGCGUGCAGGAAGACGGCCCUAUGGGUUGUAAACUGCUUUUACACCGGAGAAAACCCCUUCUCGUGAGGAGGGCUGAUAGUAUGGUGAGAAUAAGCAUCGGCUAACUUCGUGCCAGCAGCCGCGGUAAGACGAAGGAUGCAAGCGUUAUCCGGAUUCAUUGGGUUUAAAGGGAGCGUAGGUGGCCUGCUAAGUCAGUGGUGAAAUCUCUGGGCUUAACCCAGAAAUUGCCGUUGAUACUGGUGGGCUUGAGUGCAGAUGCCGUUGGCGGAAUAUGACAUGUAGUGGUGAAAUACAUAGAGAUGUCAUAGAACACCGAUUGCGAAGGCGGCUGACGAAACUGUAACUGACACUGAGGCUCGAAAGUGUGGGGAUCAAACAGGAUUAGAUACCCUGGUAGUCCACACUGUAAACGAUGAUUACUCGCUGCUGGGAGGUAACUUUCAGUGGCUGAGCGAAAGCGAUAAGUAAUCCACCUGGGGAGUACGCCGGCAACGGUGAAACUCAAAGGAAUUGACGGGGGCCCGCACAAGCGGAGGAGCAUGUGGUUUAAUUCGAUGAUACGCGAGGAACCUUACCAGGGCUUGAAAGUUAGUGACCGACUCUGAAAGGAGUCUUCCCGCAAGGGCACAAAACUAGGUGCUGCAUGGCUGUCGUCAGCUCGUGCCGUGAGGUGUUGGGUUAAGUCCCGCAACGAGCGCAACCCCUACCAUUAGUUGCCAGCGGUUCGGCCGGGGACUCUAAUGGAACUGCCCGCGCAAGCGGAGAGGAAGGUGGGGAUGACGUCAAGUCAUCACGGCCCUUACGUCCUGGGCUACACACGUGCUACAAUGGCCACUACAGAGGGCAGCUACCUGGCAACAGGAUGCCAAUCCUUAAAGGUGGUCUCAGUUCGGAUUGGGGUCUGCAACUCGACCUCAUGAAGCUGGAUUCGCUAGUAAUCGCGCAUCAGCAAUGGCGCGGUGAAUACGUUCCCGGGCCUGCACUCACCGC